This 406-nucleotide ribosomal RNA is filed under the name uncultured bacterium. RNAcentral's name for it is "bacterial SSU rRNA". It matches the Rfam family "Bacterial small subunit ribosomal RNA", at positions 355 to 776 of the family's 1533-position model. The record is from RNAcentral.
UGGGGGAUAUUGCACAAUGGAGGAAACUCUGAUGCAGCAACGCCGCGUGAGGGAAGAAGGUUUUCGGAUUGUAAACCUCUGUCCAAAGGGAAGAAUAAAUGACGGUACCUUUGGAGGAAGCUCCGGCUAACUACGUGCCAGCAGCCGCGGUAAUACGUAGGGAGCGAGCGUUGUCCGGAAUUACUGGGUGUAAAGGGUGCGUAGGCGGCCAUGUGGGUCAGACGUGAAAUGCACGAGCUCAACUCGUGAACUGCGUUUGAAACUAUAUGGCUUGAGUAAAGUAGAGGCAGGCGGAAUUCCCGGUGUAGCGGUGAAAUGCGUAGAGAUCGGGAGGAACACCAGUGGCGAAGGCGGCCUGCUGGGCUUUUACUGACGCUGAGGCACGAAAGCAUGGGUAGCAAACAGG